This is a non-coding RNA of Camelus ferus (Wild Bactrian camel), 74 nucleotides long. The record is from Rfam. Lineage: Eukaryota; Metazoa; Chordata; Mammalia; Artiodactyla; Camelidae.
GGAAGGGUACAGCUCAGUGGUAGAGCACAUGCUUAGCAUGCAUGACGUCCUGGGUUCAACUCCUAGUACCUCCA